AGUAGUAAUAGUUAUGGUCUUGAAACUUAAAAAAUUUGGCGGUAUUUUAGUCUAUUCAGAGGAACCUGUAAUAUAAUCGAUAUUCCACGAUGAAUCUUACUUAAUUUUGUAAAUUAAUUUGUAUAUCGCCGUUAUUUGAAAAUUUUAUAAGAAUAAUAAUUUUCUAAAAUUUUUAUUAAAAAAUAAAUCAGGUCAAGGUGCAGUUUAUGAUUAAAGUUUAUAUGGGUUACAAUAAAAUUUAUUUAUAUGGAUUAAAAGAUGAAAUUUCUUUUAUAAAGGAGGAUUUGAUAGUAAAUUUUUAAAGAUAAAAGAAUUGAUU
RNAcentral lists this ribosomal RNA (319 nucleotides) under Syntormon zelleri. RNAcentral describes it as "partial 12S ribosomal RNA". Lineage: Eukaryota; Metazoa; Arthropoda; Insecta; Diptera; Dolichopodidae. The record is from RNAcentral.